AUGGGAACCCCGGCCCUGAAUUCUUUCCGGGAGGCUUCCAUGGGGGAAUACUCCGGCAAUGGUCCAAAAGCCUCCUGCAACGACCGCAGGGGCAUGGAUGACAGCCCUUAAGGAUGGUAAACCUCUUUUUAGCAGGGAUGAAGCGAAAUUGCCGGUACCUGCAGUAGGAGGCGCCCGUUUAAAUACCUGUCAGCCGCCCCCCAUAAUUGGUACGGUUUCAAGGCGUGUUCCGGAAUUAUUUGAAGCAAAGAAAUUGUUAGUCGUUUUGUCGCGUAAGAAUGGCAAAGCCUGGGGGUGUAACCCCGGGUCCGCAUUCGAUACGGGCAGACUAGACUGUGCUAGGGUAGUUCCCAAGUCGUGAAGUUGCGGUGAAAUGCGCAGAUAUCAGGAGGAACACCGUUGGCGAAGGCGGAUUUCUGAGCCAUUACUGACGGUGAGGAGCGAAAGUCGUAAUGAGCGAACAUGGAUUAGAUAUCCUGUUAGUACACGCCGUAAUCGGUGGGAGAUAGGUGUUGGCGACAUUUCAUGUUGUUGGUGUCGCAGCUAACGCAUGAUGCUCCCCGCCUUGGGAGUUCGGCUGCAACGCUAUAAUUCAAAGGAAUUGAAUGGAGACCGCACAAGCAGCGGAGCAUGUGGCUUAAUUAGACGCAAGGCGACGAACGUUAUCAAGGCUUGACAUACACCGGAAACGGCCAGAGAUGGUCGCCCCAUCGUGGUCGGUGUACAGGUGGUGCAUGGCUGUUGUCAGGUCGGGUCGUGAGAUGUUGGGUUAUGUCCGGCAAAGAGGGCUAACAAUCUUAA
This 801-nucleotide ribosomal RNA is filed under the name Streptomyces sp. Its description in RNAcentral is "bacterial SSU rRNA". It matches the Rfam family "Bacterial small subunit ribosomal RNA", at positions 318 to 1111 of the family's 1533-position model. Lineage: Bacteria; Bacillati; Actinomycetota; Actinomycetes; Kitasatosporales; Streptomycetaceae. The record is from RNAcentral.